GACCUAAAUUUAGAAUUUUAUCCUAAAUUAUAACGCUUAUUGGAGUGGUAACCGACUAAAAUAUCCGGAGCCCGUGAUCACUCUAUUCAUGGAUCUCUCUUCUCGUUCGUUGCAUCUUAAAAUUUUCCCGCACUUUCUCUCUUCCCCUCGCCUGGUUUUUGGCCAUGUGUCCUUUCUUUUCCUUCAGACACCUCGUGAUAAGAAUCCUAAGCUCAUUCCAAGAGCUCUGAAAGGGUGGCAUGAGUACGAGGAUGCAGUGAAGCGAAAAGACGUCGCCAGAGCUCUCAGAUUCUUGAGAUCCCUAGAAGCCGAUAAGAAUAAGGAUAAUUCAGCUGACAAGGUUAAUGGGUUCUUAUCGUCUGGCCCGACUCGGGCUGGUAUCAGUGAGCUGGGGUUGUUUGACGGGUCACAAAGGGAUUGGGAGGUUUUGGACGCUUGUUUGAAUGCUGAUGAUAUGAGGCUUGUGGGUAGUGCUUAUGGGUUCCUCAAGAACAGGGGUUUCUUGCCCAGUUUUGGAAAAUUCAGCAACAUUGUUUUGGAGGGACCCAGAGAUGUGACCCCGACUGUAUUCAAGUCUUCAACUGGUUUAGAAGUGUCCAAAUUUGCUCCAAAGAAGUGGGGCCUUUCUGGAACUUCAAGAUUUGCCUUGGUUGCUUUUCUCGGCGGGGUAUCUUUUCUGCUUUCACAAGGGAUUGAUAUCAGAACUAACCUUGCGGCCAUUUUAGGACUGGCCUUUAUGGACUCUAUUUUCCUUGGAGGUACCUCUUUAGCUCAAAUUUCAAGUUACUGGCCUCCAUACAAGCGUCGAAUUUUAAUUCAUGAAGCAGGUCAUCUUCUGGUAGCUUACCUUAUGGGUUGCCCAAUUCGUGGUGUGAUUUUGGACCCAAUUAUUGCAAUGCAAAUGGGCAUUCAAGGCCAGGCAGGAACUCAGUUUUGGGAUGAAAAGAUGAGUAACGAGCUUGCUGAAGGACGACUCAGUGGCACUACCUUUGACAGGUAGGUAUGAUGUGUGCAUUCUUAUUUGAGGUUACUUGACAAUGACAUGUGUUCUUUUGGUUGGCAACAGCUGAAAGAAUGGUUUCUACGAUUGCGAUUAGAAGUAUAACCCCUUUUUCUUAUUAGCAUUAUUCAUCUGAAUUAGAUCACCCUAAUGAGAAAUGUGAAGUGGCUAUUUUGUAUGAGACACUGAAACUAGGAUUCUGGGCUUCUAGUCUUCAAAAUGCUAUGCAGUUGAUAGCCAACCGCCUAGCUGCCAUUUUGUGCCUGGUCACCUUGCCAAUGAAAGGUGGUCAGAAGGGUGAUUUGAAAAAACUAUUUUAACUGGAUUACUUUUUUUUUUCCCCUGCCCUGCAUCUGUGAGUGACUGGGUGUGUUGUAAUCUAACUCAGUAGAAAAAGGUACUCAUAUGUUCAUUAAUAUCAAUCUCUGGUGUGAAUUUGCCAUGACAGCUGGCAUGAUAUGAUGGUCAGGUACUGCAUGGUGCUUUUUGCUGGCAUUGCAGCUGAGGCUCUUGUUUAUGGAGAGGCAGAGGGUGGAGAAAAUGAUGAAAAUCUAUUUAGGAGCAUCUGUGUUCUUAUGCAACCCCCAUUAUCUGUAGCCAAGAUGUCAAAUCAAGCAAGGUGGUCAGUUCUGCAGUCCUACAAUCUGCUAAAAUGGCAGAGGCAUGCUCAUCGGGCUGCUGUCAAAGCUCUGGAAAGUGGUAGUAGUUUAAGUGUUGUAAUUAGGAGAAUUGAGGAAGCUAUGUCUUCUGCUACGUGAAAUGUAGAUGGUGGGAAAAAGGCAUCAACAAUUUGAUGGUGGGAUGAUACUUCAUCCAUCGCCCCUAAUGAAUUUCCCCAAUAAAACAUAAAACAAUCAGCUGGGCAAUGGAAGGAAGGCAGGCAGAAUCUUGUGGCACUGUUUGUUACCAUACUUGUCAACCAAGGCACUCCAGAAAUUGAUCUGAAGAUGAUAUUUUAUGCCUCUGUCUCUCCCUCCCAUUUAUCUUUAAAUGUGGUUAUGAAAAACAGCAAAUGAAUGCUUUUGUGGAAGGUGAGAGUAGAGCACGGAGAGCCUUUAAUGGACUGGAAGCAACUUGCUUGAAUCUGGUUUUCGCUCUGAAAGUAUAUCUAAUAUCAUCUUUAGUUAAUGCAAUGCAUGCAGGUCAAUGUUAAAUUUAAUCUAUUUGCAACUCGUCACAUUUUCAACUUGAAUCGCGAUUCUCUCGUAUUCCUCAGCAAGCACGUUUACAAUAAUUACGUAUGCCUUUCUCAGAAAUUGUAAAACCAGUUGCGGUUCUAAGGGAGGUUGCUUCGUUGUUGACCUGAACUAUUGGGAGGCUAGUCUUGGAACAUUAUUAUUUCCAAUCUUUGAACUUGAUUACAAUCAAGCGGUACCUGUUAUAUACAGUUAUACCCAUUCUUGAAUGAAAUGGAAAAUGACCUGCUAAUGUUAGGGUGCGGGAAUACCUUAAAACUAAGAUCUUUUUUGUGGAAUGUGAA
This 2480-nucleotide unclassified non-coding RNA is filed under the name Hevea brasiliensis (rubber tree). Lineage: Eukaryota; Viridiplantae; Streptophyta; Magnoliopsida; Malpighiales; Euphorbiaceae. The record is from RNAcentral.